GGCGGCACGCCUAACACAUGCAAGUCGAACGCAGUAGCAAUACUGAGUGGCAAACGGGUGAGUAUAAUGUGGGAAUCUGCCUUUUGGUUUGGAAUAACACGGGGAAACUUGUGCUAAUACCGAAUAAGCCUUUACAGGGAAAGUUUUAAUGCCGAAAGAUGAGCCUGCACUUGAUUAGCUAGUUGGUAAGGUAAAAGCUUACCAAGGCAACGAUCAAUAGCUGUUCUUAGAGGAAGACCAGCCACAUUGGGACUGAGACACGGCCCAGACUCCUACGGGAGGCAGCAGUGGGGAAUCUUGCACAAUGGGGGAAACCCUGAUGCAGCGAUGCCGCGUGAGUGAAGAAGGCCUUUGGGUUGUAAAACUCUUUCGUCGGGGAAGAAAAUGACUGUACCCGAAUAAGAAGGUCCGGCUAACUUCGUGCCAGCAGCCGCGGUAAUACGAAGGGACCUAGCGUAGUUCGGAAUUACUGGGCUUAAAGAGCUCGUAGGUGGUUAAAAAAGUUGAUGGUGAAAUCCCAAGGCUUAACCUUGGAACUGCCAUCAAAACUUUUUAGCUAGAGUGUGAUAGAGGUAAGUGGAAUUUCUAGUGUAGAGGUGAAAUUCGUAGAU
This 611-nucleotide ribosomal RNA is filed under the name uncultured Pseudomonadota bacterium. RNAcentral's name for it is "bacterial SSU rRNA". It matches the Rfam family "Bacterial small subunit ribosomal RNA", at positions 38 to 695 of the family's 1533-position model. The record is from RNAcentral. Lineage: Bacteria; Pseudomonadati; Pseudomonadota.